CUCAACGGAUAAAAGGUACUCUGGGGAUAACAGGCUGAUACCGCCCAAGAGUUCAUAUCGACGGCGGUGUUUGGCACCUCGAUGUCGGCUCAUCUCAUCCUGGGGCUGUAGCCGGUCCCAAGGGUAUGGCUGUUCGCCAUUUAAAGAGGUACGUGAGCUGGGUUUAAAACGUCGUGAGACAGUUUGGUCCCUAUCUGCCGUGGGCGUUGGAUAUUUGAAGGGGGCUGCUCCUAGUACGAGAGGACCGGAGUGGACGAACCUCUGGUGUACCGGUUGUGACGCCAGUCGCAUCGCCGGGUAGCUAUGUUCGGAAGAGAUAACCGCUGAAAGCAUCUAAGCGGGAAACUCGCCUUAAGAUGAGAUAUCCCUGGGGACUUGAUCCCCUUGAAGGGUCGUUCGAGACCAGGACGUUGAUAGGUCAGGUGUGUAAGCGCAGUAAUGCGUUCAGCUAACUGAUACUAAUUGCCCGUAAGGCUUGAUCCUAUAACA
RNAcentral lists this ribosomal RNA (489 nucleotides) under Burkholderia ubonensis. RNAcentral describes it as "bacterial LSU rRNA". It matches the Rfam family "Bacterial large subunit ribosomal RNA", at positions 2448 to 2925 of the family's 2925-position model. Lineage: Bacteria; Pseudomonadati; Pseudomonadota; Betaproteobacteria; Burkholderiales; Burkholderiaceae. The record is from RNAcentral.